AUCCUGAGUACGACGGAGCACGUGAAAUUCCGUCGGAAUCUGGGAGGACCAUCUCCUAAGGCUAAAUACUCUCUAGUGACCGAUAGUGAACCAGUACCGUGAGGGAAAGGUGAAAAGCACCCCGGAAGGGGAGCGAAAUAGAACCUGAAACCGUGUGCUUACAAGUAGUCAGAGCCCGUUAAUGGGUGAUGGCGUGCCUUUUG
Molecule: ribosomal RNA, 203 nt
Filed under: Staphylococcus aureus
Lineage: Bacteria; Bacillati; Bacillota; Bacilli; Caryophanales; Staphylococcaceae
Description: partial 23S ribosomal RNA
Rfam family: Bacterial large subunit ribosomal RNA
Source: RNAcentral